Molecule: transfer RNA, 76 nt
Filed under: Candidatus Amesbacteria bacterium RIFOXYB1_FULL_44_23
Lineage: Bacteria; Candidatus Amesiibacteriota
Description: tRNA-Phe
Rfam family: tRNA
About the family: Transfer RNA (tRNA) molecules are approximately 80 nucleotides in length. Their secondary structure includes four short double-helical elements and three loops (D, anti-codon, and T loops).
Source: RNAcentral
GCCGAGAUAGCCAAGUUGGUCACGGCGGGCGCCUGAAGAGCGUCAAAUAUUGGUUCGAUUCCAAUUCUCGGCACAA